Molecule: long non-coding RNA, 492 nt
Organism: Suricata suricatta (meerkat)
Lineage: Eukaryota; Metazoa; Chordata; Mammalia; Carnivora; Herpestidae
Exons: 2
Source: RefSeq, a predicted model, not a curated record
AAGGAAGUUAAAUGAAUUGCUUCAAAUUACCACCUCCCAGGAUUGAGAAUAAAAAUGAGCUUGUUUCUCCCCACUUAUCUCUGGGCACCCAUAUCUGGAACCACUGUUUGCCAAGAGUGACUGGUGAUGCAGUCACAGCCUGUCUAUGAUUGAUCUCAAUACGACUGUUUACAGCUCAGACACCUCAGAAAAUAUACUACUACAAAAAGUAUUGGUAAUUAAGCAACUUUUAGAAAUAUGAAAGUAGCAUGCUAGUUGCUUCUCCGUGUUAGCCUUUUGCUACUGCUACGGAAUCUUGAACAUAAGAAGAUGGAAGCACAAUGAGACAGCACCUGGAGGAAAACGGACAAGCUGUUGGCAGCUUAGAAGACAAUUCUGGGGUGAACAUCAUUCUCUGUUCUUCCUUCCUAAAAACUUGACAAUUGAGAAGGCAAUCGAUAUGAAACAAAGUUAACUCAGAAAAUGAAUAAAACAUGCUUAAUUUUCAGAUAC